CAAACACACUACAAUUGUUGCAUAAGAAAUCAAAGGAAAACAGAGCCAUAACUAUAGACAGGUCUCAAAAUGAUGUGGGCCAAAUUUGGUGAAGAUUGGACAAAACUUAGGCAGUUGGAUGCAUGCAUUUUUAACUUGUUAUUGUAGCUUUUGCGCAGUAAGUGGCACUGGACUCUGUUCAUAGUCCUGAAGACAUUUACCAAGUUUUGUGUCAGUGCGUAAAGCCAUUGCUGAGAUACAGUCUCACAUCCUGUUUUUAUGGCUUCGCUAUCAGAUUUGUCGGCCCAUUACGGGCAAAGUAUGGAGGCUUAAUGCUGUGGAAGGACUUGAAGCCCACCUUCCAACAUCCCAGUGUUGAAGCUGUUCUGUUCUGAGGAAUGGGCUAAAAUGAAACCCACCAACAUCCCAAUGUUGAAGCUGUUCUGUUCUGAGGAAUGGGCUAAAAUUCCUCCAAGCCAAUGUGCAGGACUGAUCAACAGUUACCGGAAAUGUUUAGUUGCAGUUAUUGCUGCACAAGGAGGUCACAGCAGAUACUGAAAGCAAGGUUUGACAUACGUUUGUCACUCACAGAUAUGCAAUAUUGGAUUAUUUUCCUCAACAAAUAAAUGAUCAAGUAUAA
Ictalurus furcatus (blue catfish) is the source of this 619-nucleotide long non-coding RNA. RefSeq lists it as uncharacterized. Lineage: Eukaryota; Metazoa; Chordata; Actinopteri; Siluriformes; Ictaluridae. The record is from RefSeq and is a predicted model, not a curated record. The transcript is spliced from 2 exons.